Molecule: ribosomal RNA, 387 nt
Filed under: uncultured bacterium
Lineage: Bacteria
Description: partial 16S ribosomal RNA
Rfam family: Bacterial small subunit ribosomal RNA
Source: RNAcentral
CCUACGGGAGGCAGCAGUGAGGAAUAUUGGUCAAUGGCCGGAAGGCUGAACCAGCCAAGCCGCGUGAAGGACGAAGGUGCCAAGCAUUGUAAACUUCUUUUGUCAAGGGACAAAAUCAGGCUCGAGAGCCUGACAGAGGGUACUUGAAGAAAAAGCAUCGGCUAACUCCGUGCCAGCAGCCGCGGUAAUACGGGGGGUGCAAGCGUUGUCCGGAAUCAUUGGGCGUAAAGAGUUCGGAGGCGGGACGUAAAGUCAGGUGGUAAAGGCAGGGGGUCAAACUCUGUACGGCAGUGGAUACUUGCGGUCUAGAGUGCGAGAGAGGUAUGGGGAAUUCGUGGUGUAGCGGUGAAAUGCUUAGAUAUCGGGAGGAACCGCGAUGGCGUAAGC